UCUCCGUAGGUGAACCUGCGGAAGGAUCAUCAAAGAACAACGUUCUUUCUUAUACACACCUUUUGUGCAAUUUGUGUGGGAGUUUGGGAAAAAGUGAAAAUUUUUUUUCACUCUUUUUCGACUCCCACACCUUUUUUUACAAAAUAAACCCCUUUUUAUACCAAACUUACAAAUACCAAAAAUUCAUAACCAAAGACAACUUUUAACAACGGAUCUCUUGGCUCUCGCAUUGAUGAAGAACGCAGC
Molecule: unclassified non-coding RNA, 246 nt
Filed under: plant metagenome
Description: partial contains small subunit ribosomal RNA, internal transcribed spacer 1, and 5.8S ribosomal RNA
Rfam family: 5.8S ribosomal RNA (bases 198-246)
Source: RNAcentral